RNAcentral lists this ribosomal RNA (253 nucleotides) under uncultured bacterium. RNAcentral describes it as "partial 16S ribosomal RNA". It matches the Rfam family "Bacterial small subunit ribosomal RNA", at positions 524 to 776 of the family's 1533-position model. The record is from RNAcentral.
UACGUAAGGUCCGAGCGUUGUCCGGAAUCAUUGGGCGUAAAGGGCACGUAGGCGGAUAGGCAAGUGAGAUGUGAAAUCCCCGAGCUCAACUUGGGAAUUGCAUUUCAAACUGGUUAUCUAGAGUUUUGUAGAGAGGGGUAGAAUUCCACGUGUAGCGGUGAAAUGCGUAGAGAUGUGGAGGAAUACCGAAGGCGAAGGCAGCCCCUUGGACAAAGACUGACGCUGAGGUGCGAAAGCGUGGGUAGCAAACAGG